GACGAACGCUGGCGGCGUGCUUAACACAUGCAAGUCGAGCGGAAAGGCCCUUCGGGGUACUCGAGCGGCGAACGGGUGAGUAACACGUGAGCAAUCUGCCCCUAGCUUCGGGAUAGCUCCGGGAAACCGGAAUUAAUACCGGAUAUGACUACGGCCGACAUCAGCUGUGGUGGAAAGUUUUUCGGCUAGGGAUGAGCUCG
Molecule: ribosomal RNA, 200 nt
Filed under: uncultured bacterium
Lineage: Bacteria
Description: partial 16S ribosomal RNA
Rfam family: Bacterial small subunit ribosomal RNA
Source: RNAcentral